UUUGUAACUUUGCUCAACUGGCUGAUUUGCCUCACUGUGCUGGCUAGAGUCCCCCAGCAGAACUGCACAAAGCUGCUGCAGGUAACCUGGUGUGCUCCAAAAGAAUAUGUGGGAGGAUAUCAUAGAAAACCCCCACUGCUUGGCAUGGUCAGUAUGGAAAUGUCUCCACUGUCUCCGAAGUCUUAAUAACAAAUUGAAAUAACGAGGUAGGUGUUUUACAUAUUUGGCAUUCCUGCUUUGCUCCAAGCUGUCCUGGGGAGAUGACUGAUUUAUCUGUGGCACUGUUACAUUUCCCUAUGGCUGCUGUACGAGACACUUUUGGCCAGAGAGAGCCUCUCUGGCUUGUCAGCAUGCUGGCAUGUUUUCAGGUGGUGUUCUGCUAGUGACCUCAAAUGGGAAUUCACCUAUCUCACACGUGAUGCUGUCUUGGGGACUCUGCUCAUUUUCAUACUGGCAUUGUUUGGUUUUCUUCCCCUUUCAAUGUCAAGGGGGAAGCACCUGGCACAACAGAUACUGUUUUGCCUUAGUCUUGCACUCCUCGUACACUGCAUCACAAAGCUACCUACAAAGCUGAUCUAAAAGGCAACACCAUGAUUUAUGAAGCAGGCAGCAUACCUGCCUUCCAGCUCCCACCUGCAGGAUUAUUUGGUUUUUUUAAGGCUUUCUCAGUUAACAGAUGCUUCCUAUUUGAACUUGUGGAUGCUCUUGGAUGUGGCAGUCAAAUCAUAACUCCACAGUGUGAAAUACUGCUUUUGGUGCAGGUAUUUCCUUGUUCUGUUGCAGAUUCUCACCGAAGAUGUAAAUGCUCCAUUAGUGGGUUCUGGGUGCUCUAGAGCAGGGUUUUGCUCUUUCCUCUGAAGCUGGGCUGUUCUGUAUGGAGCAAACCUUCAUCAGGCCCACGACUGCAUCUGUGCUUCAGUCUCUUCCAGCUGCUGCUUUAAUGAUGUUUUAUCCAAGCAUUCACUGGAGCAGAGACCAGAACUUGCGUUCCCCCCUCCCUUUGCUGUUCAGGGGCUGCAGCACUGCACUCUUCCCAGCUGGGUGAAUAUUCCACCUUGUAAGCUCCAGGAAAAUAACCUCAUCAGAAGGAACUGAGCCACUUACCCUGAUUACAGCAAUUACCAAGAAGUGGAAAUUAAGGGUCAGGUCUCCCUCAACAAAGGCAGGAAUCUAAGACAGAGGUUCCCCAUAGAAGGUCAUAGCAUUAGCCACUGCGCUGCUAGAGAUGGCAGAUGGGAAACUAUCCUUAAAAACUCUACACAUUGUCCUCAAAAUACAUGGCUGAGAUUGGGCCCUGCUGUAACACAGUUAGGGAAUACUUUAUACCUGUAUACAAAUACCAGUUACACUGCAUUACGAGGGCUCAAACAAUCUCAGCAUCAGCAUUAAAAAUUCAUUCUUAAAAAUGCCGGGGGGGGGGAGGAAAAAAAAAGGUUGUGUUUGCCAGCUGGGUCUCCCUCAGCGCUCAGCUCAUUUUGUUUGUUUCCAUGAGUCAUUUUUAGAACAGGCAACAAUAAUCUAACAAUACUUGAGUCAUACAUAGUCCGGGGCCAACUUCUUAGAGAACAUAGCUUUCCUGAGGAGAGUGAAAAAUAGCCUAAAAGGAGAAGUGCCUCUCUGGCUUUCAUACGUUACAAGAAGUUCUGUUUUUUAAAAAGAAGUGGUUGAUGGAACUGGCUUUUGAAAGCACAGAAAACAAUCCUUCCUGUCUGUCCUUUCAAAUUUGAGACCUAGAAAGCCAUGGGACAGAAAGGGGCUGUUGAUUUAAGACAAAGAACCCCUAAGCCCCCCUUGAACAAGCACACGGCUGCUAACUGCAUGCUAAUGCCUCAUGCUCCAGCGCAGGUCAAGACAAACGUGAAGGGAAAUGAGCUGGAGCUCAUUUCUCCCUUUAUCACGCUGUGAAGUGCAAGCUGGCUGUACGGCUUUGGCUGCUCUCACAGAACCAGCUUUCCUGAGACAAAAUACAUCCAGUCCUACCUUCUGCUUCUUAGUAACACUGUCAUUUCUGAAAAUCAAGUGCCAAGAUAUCUUCCUAAACUAAAACCCCACUCAAUUUCCUUCCUGUGCUCACAGCUCCCCAGUGCAAUCAUAGCUGCAAGGGACUGACUCAGAGUUCCUCUGUGGAGAGAAAGCUUUUUCUGCCUGCUUUUCCCCAAAGCAGCUCAGCUUCCAGGACGUGAUAGUUUGUUGUGGGAAGGCCCCAUCUCAUCGCCUGGAAACAGAGUUAUUAGGGAGUAUCAAUUCCAAACUUAUGCAACAAAGGCUAAGUUUUCAUCUGACCUCC
Molecule: long non-coding RNA, 2287 nt
Filed under: Strigops habroptila (Kakapo)
Lineage: Eukaryota; Metazoa; Chordata; Aves; Psittaciformes; Psittacidae
Description: lncRNA (ENSSHBG00005009855.1)
Source: RNAcentral